GUGGACUAGGGAACGGUUUGGUAAGUAUGGAAUGAAAUAUGGAUUGUUUGGUAAUAUUCGAUAAGCCUUGAAUCGGAAGCUUCCUUUUACUUUUUAUUCAAACACGUUUACAUUGCUUUGCAACAGUUUCAUUUCAGUUCGUUGGACUAAAGCUGUCUGCAAGCUAGCGUCAUUUUUAUCAUACAUGAAUCAUGCAUAGGAAAAACAAACAAACCUGCCUAAGUUAUCUUGUUGUCCUAGAGGUUUGUCAAUAGGAUGAAAUGGUCUCCCCUUCCUUCAUUCGCUCUCUCGUUCAUUGUCAAAGCUUUUGAAGCUCCAAAUUGUACGUAAUGAGCAACACAGCUCCGACAGCAAACACCAUCAUUAUCAUUUGUAGAAGAACAAUGGCUAAAACAACAACAUAAGCCUCACAACAACAACAGAUUGCAUCAUUUACUCGUCUCUCGUCGCCAGUCCCCACAGACUGGUUGAACGGUUUGGUUUGGAGGAUAUUUUAUCUCGCUUCCAUGCAUUCCCGAGAGUUCGGCGGUCAAUACGAGGUGGCUUACAAGUGUUUCGUACUGCAUGCUUUAACUUUAGUGACCACGGCCAAUGAAAUAUGGUUGAUCAAUAGCCAAACUUUCCAUUAUGCAUUUUGUUCGCUGUAUCGUAUCGUUUGGUCGAUACAUGGAUUUUUAAUGUAAGAUAGUCGAGUUUAGACGUUUUGUUACCACAAACACGGACAUUUUACAUAAUGUCGAUAAUAUGCUUUACUUAGCUGAUGCUAUUUUUACACCUUGCCAAAAGCCGAUUCCUUAAUAAAUUCGCUCAAAAAUUAAUCAUAUCUUCAAGCGCAGUGUUUUGAAAUAAAAAAAACUAUUAUCAAGGUUAUUAGUAACAGCAGAUUGAGUGCUUUGAAUUCUGGAGUUGCUAUAGCUAGCACCGGUUUGGCCCGACGACAGAUUUGAUAACAUGGCAGACAAACGGGUUAACUGUGUGGCAUGUUUUAACCCACUGAGCCACAUUUUGACGUCAUUCCCGCACAAAGCAGGCGCAGCAGUCGAGCAGUCUCUACUACUCCACCAUCGAUGCACACUACAGCCACAUCGCUAACUGAUUACGUCGAUACGACGCGUUAAGUAUCAGUUUGCGCUAAACAUUUGCACAGAUGAAAUCAAAAUACCUUCAACCGUGCACCGCCAUCGAAAACAAAGCAAAAAGAAAUCGAACCGCUCAACCAACGGGCCGAAGAAUGAUGAACAAAAAGACUUAUGCACGGGUCGCACAGGAACAUAAGCAAAGCAUUUCUCUUGGGCAAGCUUUAAAAGCCAAGGAAAACUAAGCAUAACAUUUGCGAUUACGGCACCAACUAGACGAACAGUACGGUAGAGUAGGAAGGGAGCACAGCACAGCACACUGAUGUUGGAAACCAUGGUAGCGAUUGUGUCGCUUCAUUUCCACGAUCUGUCAUGGUAAGUAAAAGCGAGAAGUUACAACAAAAGCCGCUUAAUUGCACAACUUGCAUGGGGUACGGUGAAGCUUAGCUUAUAAUUUUUUCCUCAAUAUAUCAGGGUGUACAAAAAGUUCUUAAAAUAUUUGCACUAAUAACGGGUUGUCCGUCCAUCCGGUUUUCAGUUACCAGCUACGAACGAUUCUCCGCACCCAGAUCAUAGGCAAUCAAUUUCAGGAAUAAAUGUGGACGACCGAUUUACAUCUCAACUCAGCGUGCUUCUGAUAACAAAGUAGCAUAGGCACGAAUGGUGUAUUUUUGUUACAAGCCCAUCAUGGUUUUGCUUUGCAUAGCACUGUCGAGUGCCCUUGACCGAUUCUAUUUUCCGGGGGCUUCUUUUUCCGCUUCCUCCUCGCUUACCAUAAAGAUUGCAACAACUCGAAAAAAUCCAGCCAGAUGCUAAUCGAAAUGGAUGCGGGACGCGCUUCAUGCUGGCCGGCAUAUAGUUCAUCAUGCUCUAACAAUGCGAUGCAUAUCGAUAGGGUAUAAACUGCACAGUGCAUGCGUACAGUUGUUUACGAUUGUUCGCGACUGGCCAGAUAGUUGAAGGUCGAUCAAGGCAGCGGAUGAGAAGGCUUUGACUCACUUCAAUGAAAGCGAUGACGAGGCAACCCCUUUGCUCUUACUACUACACUUCACUGGCGUAUGAAUAUACCUCAGAGGUAGAGCUUUGGUGGUUUCUUUUUUCGUUUCUGGCAUUCAUUCAUAUACCAUUACCGCGGAGUACGAGCGAUGACAUACGGGGUCAUCUUUGAGCACUGUUCACAAAAUUUUACAUUUUUAAUCGUUUUUUAUUAUCGUUACGUUACUAUUCGAUAAGGGAUGGAUAAUAUUUUUAGUGGCUAAAAAAUAUUCACUGUUGUAUAACAGAAAUACCGCUCCAAAAUUAAAUUUAAACGUCGUUUAUCGCGUCUGACGUACGAGCAGGUGUAACAAAUCUGCAAUGUUAGAAAACUGUAGAAAUUUUUACAUUUUCAGAUAGUAUUUUCUUAUCAAAACAAGAAAUGAACUUAGACCGAUUAGCUAAUAGUAGCCUCUAAAUGUCGUUUUUGCGUAAAAUGUGGCCUUCAAUUGGAAUGUUUAGAUACUGCUUCAAAUGUAUUAACCACACAAACUAUCGAAAGUAUCAGUAUCUAAAGUAUUCUAAUAAAAUUAUAUGUAUUGUAACUGUACCAGUAUUGGGCAGGUAAGUGAAUCAGUUUCACAAAAACUGCUCCUACACGUACAAAUUUUAUUAUUUUUCACGAAAAAGACGUUAUUUUGGACAAUAAACUAUCGGAUUAUCUUGUGCUAUUUUUUAUGUACCGAUUUAAAUGUAUUUUUUAGAUAUAUUUGUGAACAUGCAAACACUGUUUUUGGUCCUAUUUUCGGCAGGCUGUGCACCAAAUACGGGUCGGUGUUUUAAUGUGUUAAUAAAUGAAAACAGGUAGAAAAAAACGCAAUUUUACACUCUUACUUUCCUAAGAUUGGUGUUGAAAAGCACUAAAAUUAUUAAUUUCAUGUUGUACAUUCUGGUCAUUUUGCAGGCAGUUUUUACAGUCUGUUAGAUGUGCGUUACAAUCAAAGUAGGCAUUGAAGAAAAGAGAGUAUGAUGGAUCCAGAGUUCGGCUCCGAUUGGUUCACAAACCGGCUUUUCUCUCAAGUUUUUGGAUUAUGUUUAGUGAAAUUGGUGAUAUUUAAUACAAGAAAUGUCGUUUUAUGUGUCGACAUACGCAUUUUAGUGUUCUGAUCAAGUUUUAAAUGAAUAUUCAGCAAAAUCAAAAGUGUUAUUGCUUCAAGUUUCGGCAGGAGCCCACAGCAUUGAUCUGCCAAAAAUCAACAUUUACCGUGUACAAUCUGUUCCCGAGUUACGCGAUUUGUGCGUUCCCGAGGAAUCCGCGUAACUCCAAUAUCUGCAGUCCAAGAGCAAAUGUUGUCACAGAAUCCUCACCGAAGGUCGUACGUUUCCGCAGCCCGUGGAACCAUGAGCUAGAUCGCGUAAAUUUGUCGUCAGCAUGUCGCAUUGGACAAAAGAUACGAGGAGCAGUACGCGUGCCGCCGUUCGAUACGAACAGACGCAAAGCAGCUACAAGAGCAAAUAGAAGCCAAAAACGGACAAUUUGCCUUAUUGGAAAUAUCUGUGCCAAGUGAAACAAUUUAAACUUCCUUGUCACGCUCAGUUCGCUCUCGUCGUGAAUGCUGGACCGCUCUAGAAAACAAGCCAACUUCAAGAUGUGUCGGUCUACGUAGCUGGCUGGUUCUUAGAACGGCUUUGCAUGUGUGAGAGGGCGAAUGAGUUUCAACGUGAAUGUAAAAGUAAACAUGUAGAGUGGUGUCACGCAAUUAGCUGGCUGCCUCGCCCGUUCGUUCCAACCGGUCGAGCUAAAACGGCCCCAUCCACACAGGAACGGUUUCGAACGGUUCAACCUUGCGCGACUUUGACGUUGGUGGCCCGGCGGCUACAAACAGCAAUGAAUAUGCAAUCACGCACAUUUAAGCACGGCAGACCGGGGACUCACUUUCCAGGAUGGCAAGAGUGCACACCAUAGCCGCGCGACCAGCGUCUUGUCGUAGCGAAUUGUCCUAUAAAUUAAUUAUUACAAAUGAACAGAACCAGGGGAACGUGCAAACACGAUCAACGCAAAGAAGACACACUGUUCUCGGCAAAAUGCUUCAAGAGUACGGGGAGAGCCUGGUAGCAUCUCUCCAGCGGUCGAUGACGAAACGAACGUUUAGCUGCAUCCGUUGCAAAGCUUGUCUUAGCUUUAUGUGCGGCUCGUGCCGAAUGCAAUCAAUGUGGAAUUCCAUCUGAGAUGAUAACAUUUGCACUUCAAACAUCUUAA
Long non-coding RNA from Anopheles coluzzii, 4311 nucleotides. RefSeq lists it as uncharacterized. The transcript has 2 exons. The record is from RefSeq and is a predicted model, not a curated record. NCBI's taxonomy places the organism in Eukaryota, Metazoa, Arthropoda, Insecta, Diptera, Culicidae.